UAGGGAAUCUUCCGCAAUGGACGCAAGUCUGACGGAGCAACGCCGCGUGAGUGAAGAAGGAUUUCGGUUCGUAAAACUCUGUUGUUAGAGAAGAACAGCGCAUAGAGUAACUGUUAUGCGUGUGACGGUAUCUAACCAGAAAGCCACGGCUAACUACGUGCCAGCAGCCGCGGUAAUACGUAGGUGGCAAGCGUUGUCCGGAUUUAUUGGGCGUAAAGCGAGCGCAGGCGGUCAAUUAAGUCUGAUGUGAAAGCCCCCGGCUCAACCGGGGAGGGUCAUUGGAACCUGGUUGACUUGAGUGCAGAAGAGGAGAGUGGAAUUCCAUGUGUAGCGGUGAAAUGCGUAGUUAUAGGGAGGAACACCAGUGGCGAAGGCGACUCUCUGGUCUGUAACUGCCGCUGAGGCUCGAAAGCGUGGGUAGCAAACAGG
RNAcentral lists this ribosomal RNA (429 nucleotides) under Bacteroidota bacterium. RNAcentral describes it as "Bacteroidetes bacterium partial 16S ribosomal RNA". It matches the Rfam family "Bacterial small subunit ribosomal RNA", at positions 355 to 776 of the family's 1533-position model. The record is from RNAcentral. Lineage: Bacteria; Pseudomonadati; Bacteroidota.